UAGGGUUUGAUCAUGGCUCAGAAUGAACGCUGGCGGCAGGCCUAAAACAUGCAAGUCGAACGCUCUAGCAAUAGAGAGUGGCGCACGGGUGAGUAACACGUGGGAAUAUGCCUUUUGGUACGGAAUAGCUCCGGGAAACUGGAAUUAAUACCGUAUGGUCCCUUCGGGGUAAAGAUUUAUCGCCAAAAGAUUAGCCCGCGCUGGAUUAGCUAGUUGGUAAGGUAAUGGCUUACCAAGGCGACGAUCCAUAGCUGGUCUGAGAGGACGAUCAGCCACACUGGGACUGAGACACGGCCCAGACUCCUACGGGAGGCGGCAGUUAGGAAUAUUGGACAAUGGGGGCAACCCUGAUCCAGCCAUGCCGCGUGAGUGAUGAAGGCCUUCGGGUUGUAAAGCUCUUUAGCCGACGAUUAUAAUGACUGUAGUCGGAAAAUAAGCCCCGGCUAACUUCGUGCCAGCAGCCGCGGUAAUUC
Molecule: ribosomal RNA, 473 nt
Filed under: uncultured Devosia sp.
Lineage: Bacteria; Pseudomonadati; Pseudomonadota; Alphaproteobacteria; Hyphomicrobiales; Devosiaceae
Description: bacterial SSU rRNA
Rfam family: Bacterial small subunit ribosomal RNA
Source: RNAcentral